This 264-nucleotide unclassified non-coding RNA is filed under the name air metagenome. RNAcentral's name for it is "partial contains small subunit ribosomal RNA, internal transcribed spacer 1, and 5.8S ribosomal RNA". The stretch from base 1 to 46 matches the Rfam family "Eukaryotic small subunit ribosomal RNA", at positions 1786 to 1831 of the family's 1831-position model. The record is from RNAcentral.
AAGUCGUAACAAGGUUUCCGUAGGUGAACCUGCGGAAGGAUCAUUACUGAGAGAGGGGCCUCGCGCUCCCGGGGGCUUCGGCCCCCAACUCUUCACCCUUGUGUACUUGUCUGUGUUGCUUUGGCGGGCCUUGAGGGGUCUCUCUUGCGCCGGCCCCCGGGUCGGUGGGCGCCCGUCAGAUGCGUUCCUAAAUCCUGUUAAUCAGUGUUGUCCGAGUAUCAAACAAAUGUAUAAAAACUUUCAACAACGGAUCUCUUGGUUCCA